Molecule: ribosomal RNA, 600 nt
Filed under: Lacticaseibacillus casei
Lineage: Bacteria; Bacillati; Bacillota; Bacilli; Lactobacillales; Lactobacillaceae
Description: bacterial SSU rRNA
Rfam family: Bacterial small subunit ribosomal RNA
Source: RNAcentral
GGGCACGGGCGGCGUGCCUAUACUNGNCAGUCGACGAGUUCUCGUUGAUGAUCGGUGCUUGCACCGAGAUUCAACAUGGAACGAGUGGCGGACGGGUGAGUAACACGUGGGUAACCUGCCCUUAAGUGGGGGAUAACAUUUGGAAACAGAUGCUAAUACCGCAUAGAUCCAAGAACCGCAUGGUUCUUGGCUGAAAGAUGGCGUAAGCUAUCGCUUUUGGAUGGACCCGCGGCGUAUUAGCUAGUUGGUGAGGUAAUGGCUCACCAAGGCGAUGAUACGUAGCCGAACUGAGAGGUUGAUCGGCCACAUUGGGACUGAGACACGGCCCAAACUCCUACGGGAGGCAGCAGUAGGGAAUCUUCCACAAUGGACGCAAGUCUGAUGGAGCAACGCCGCGUGAGUGAAGAAGGCUUUCGGGUCGUAAAACUCUGUUGUUGGAGAAGAAUGGUCGGCAGAGUAACUGUUGUCGGCGUGACGGUAUCCAACCAGAAAGCCACGGCUAACUACGUGCCAGCAGCCGCGGUAAUACGUAGGUGGCAAGCGUUAUCCGGAUUUAUUGGGCGUAAAGCGAGCGCAGGCGGUUUUUUAAGUCUGAUGUGA